ACAGUUAUGGGAGCACAUUUUUGAACACAGGCUCCCACCUUCAACUUAUCACUUCCUUACCUUUGCUGGGGUACCUGAUGACUUUAAAGAGACUGUUUCUUUGGAGAAGGUGGAAUACGCUUAAAGAUUGGUCUUGCCUUUAAAACACCAUUUUAAAAGAGACCAUUUGUUAGUGCCUGAAAUCUGUAACUGGCUUAAAAGCUCUGUCAGCUGGAAAGGAACCUGUCAGUGUGAUAAUGGAAAAGAAGAAGAUACAUCAGAGAGAGCUCUUCUGAGGAUUAAAGGAGGUAACUUAAGAAGAAG
This 303-nucleotide long non-coding RNA is filed under the name Homo sapiens (human). RNAcentral describes it as "non-protein coding lnc-ADCY2-5:2". The record is from RNAcentral. Lineage: Eukaryota; Metazoa; Chordata; Mammalia; Primates; Hominidae.